This 700-nucleotide ribosomal RNA is filed under the name uncultured bacterium. RNAcentral's name for it is "bacterial SSU rRNA". It matches the Rfam family "Bacterial small subunit ribosomal RNA", at positions 62 to 736 of the family's 1533-position model. The record is from RNAcentral.
UCAAACGGUCGUUGGUUGAGGGCAACUUCAAGUAACGGCAGUGGCAAACGGGUGCGUAACACGUGAACAAUCUACCUUAAAGUGGGGAAUAGCUCGUCGAAAGACGAAAUAAUACCGCAUGUUGUGGCUAGCCUCAUAGCAAGCUAACAAAAGUUGGGGACCGCAAGGCCUAACGCUUUAAGAGGAGUUCGCGGCCUAUCAGCUUGUUGGCGAGGUAACGGCUCACCAAGGCGAAGACGGGUAGCUGGUCUGAGAGGAUGAUCAGCCACACUGGAACUGAGAAACGGUCCAGACACCUACGGGUGGCAGCAGUUUCGAAUUAUUCACAAUGGGCGAAAGCCUGAUGGUGCGACGCCGCGUGAGGGAUGAAGGUCUUCGGAUUGUAAACCUCUGUCACCGGGGAGGAAUUUUUUUGGAGAAAUACUCCAAAAGUUGACUUAACUCGGAGAGGAAGCAGUGGCUAACUCUGUGCCAGCAGCCGCGGUAAUACAGAGACUGCAAGCGUUAUUCGGAUUCACUGGGCGUAAAGGGUGUGCAGGCGGCAAAAUGUGUGGAGCGUGAAAGUCCGAGGCUCAACUUCGGAACUGCACUCCAAACUAUUUUGCUAGAGCAUUGGAGAGAGUAGCAGAAUUCACGGUGUAGCAGUGAAAUGCGUAGAUAUCGUGAGGAAUACCAGAGGCGAAGGCGGCUACUUGGACAA